GUUAGGGGAGGUUUCCCUGAUCUGCAGGAAUCAGCGUGGACGGCAGAGCCUCCCUGACAGGAGAGGGAAUAGUUAUGGAAGGACCUGAGAUGAGUGGAGGCGAGUGUGGAGAGGCUAUGCAGGCCCAGACUCUGGGACCCCGUAGGCCAUGGGAAGAACUUCGAUCUUCAGUCCAGGAGCCCUGGGAACGGAAUAUUGUUGUUUGACUUUUGCGAUGAUCAGUUUCACAUAUCCACUUGGCCAGUCGCUGGUACCCGGUUAUUCCAUCAAACACUAAAUCAGAUUAUCCUGGGUGAGACUGAUUCAAUCAGCUGAAAGACCUCAGGAGCGGAACUGAGGCUUCCCUGAGAAAACAUAAAUUCUGCCUAUGGACAGCAAUUUCAGUUCACCCCUAAAAUCCCACCCUCCUCUUUCUGAUGGCCUGUGCUGUGGACUUCCGAUGUGCCUUGCCAGCGCCCACAAUCAUGUGCAGCAAGUUGCCUUUUUAAAAUGUGCACUUUGGCCGGGUGUGGCAGCUCACUCUUGUAAUCCUAGCACUUCGGGAGGCCGAAGUGGGAGAACUGCUUGAGGCCAGGAGUUCGAGACCAGCCUGGGCAACAUCGUGAGACCACAUCUGUACAACAAAUAAAAUUUAAAAAAAUAUUAGCCAGGCAUGGUGGUGCAUGCCUAUAGUCCCAGCUACUUGGGAGGCUGAGGCGGGAGGAUCACUUGAGUUCAGGAGGUUGAAGCUUCAGUGAGCUGUGAUCAUGCCAAUGCAUUCCAGCCUGGGCAACAUACAAGAUCCUGUCUCAGAAAAACAAAUACAACAUACACCUUCUCCUCUGUUGUCUCUGUCAUAGGAACUAACCGUGCUGUACUCUGUGCUGGUUAUGGGUCUCACUCUUUAUUUCCUUUCCCUCCAGCCAUGCAAAGCCUUUUGUGCUAUUCUGUCCAAGUUGCAGUCAGCAACUUUAGUGCACAGGUGAUAAAAUUACAUCAUAUUUCAGGUA
This 989-nucleotide long non-coding RNA is filed under the name Homo sapiens (human). Its description in RNAcentral is "HSALNT0082429". Lineage: Eukaryota; Metazoa; Chordata; Mammalia; Primates; Hominidae. The record is from RNAcentral.